GCCGGGUGUGGUGAUGCACACCUAUAGUCCCAACUACUUGGGAGGCUGAGGUGGGAGGAUCACUCGAGCCCAGGAGUUUGAGGUUACAGUGAGCCGAGAUGGUGCCACUGCACUCCAGCCUGGACAACAGAGUGAGACCCUGCCUCAA
This 148-nucleotide signal recognition particle RNA is filed under the name Chlorocebus sabaeus (green monkey). Its description in RNAcentral is "Metazoan signal recognition particle RNA". It matches the Rfam family "Metazoan signal recognition particle RNA". From Rfam's summary of the family: The signal recognition particle (SRP) is a universally conserved ribonucleoprotein. The record is from Rfam by way of RNAcentral. Lineage: Eukaryota; Metazoa; Chordata; Mammalia; Primates; Cercopithecidae.